RNAcentral lists this long non-coding RNA (258 nucleotides) under Vigna radiata. RNAcentral describes it as "long non-coding RNA (VRAD_LNC016665)". Lineage: Eukaryota; Viridiplantae; Streptophyta; Magnoliopsida; Fabales; Fabaceae. The record is from RNAcentral.
AGGAAGUGUUUUUGUGAAGAGGGGUGAAGGGAAAAGUGGAGAGAGUCUUUUGGAGAGAGCUUUGGAGUGGCUAAAAUGAGUGAGGGUCGAAUGGAAGCACAAAAACCAAUCUGCAAUGCCAGCGCCUAACGCUAAUUGUCGUUGAACGGUAUGCACGAUACUCACCCUCCUUCUUCCUAACUCGCCCUUAGCGUUCAUGAUCCAAUGCCACUCAAAUUCAACUCUCAAAUUUCGAAUUUCAUGCAAUUUCUACUCACU